AGGGAGUUCAAUGUUCUAAACCCUCCACCCCCUAGAACGUGCUUUUCAUAAGAAAUGGAGUCCAACUUCUUCUGUAGUGACUUUCCAAUUCUCAGGCUUGUUAACAAAAUGCCCCAGUGGCCCCCCAACAUGCUCUCAAGUAACUAGUCCCUGCAGGUCUAGCGAGAAUCUUUACAGAGACACAUUGUCUAACUCGUCACUCAGCUGUGCUACAUCUAUAGAACCUCCUCUCAGAAUUCCCACCCAAGAAAUGAGAAAGAGCCAAGUCCCCUGCUUUAUAAAGGGCCCUGAUCAAGCCGUUAUCCAAUCAGCUUCUUUGUUUAUCUGCACAAUAUGCC
This is a non-coding RNA of Pelobates cultripes (western spadefoot toad), 338 nucleotides long. NCBI's taxonomy places the organism in Eukaryota, Metazoa, Chordata, Amphibia, Anura, Pelobatidae. The record is from the annotation of a GenBank genome assembly.